Molecule: transfer RNA, 93 nt
Filed under: Stappia sp. 22II-S9-Z10
Lineage: Bacteria; Pseudomonadati; Pseudomonadota; Alphaproteobacteria; Hyphomicrobiales; Stappiaceae
Also listed under: 2 other names
Description: tRNA-Ser
Rfam family: tRNA
About the family: Transfer RNA (tRNA) molecules are approximately 80 nucleotides in length. Their secondary structure includes four short double-helical elements and three loops (D, anti-codon, and T loops). Further hydrogen bonds mediate the characteristic L-shaped molecular structure. tRNAs have two regions of fundamental functional importance: the anti-codon, which is responsible for specific mRNA codon recognition, and the 3' end, to which the tRNAs corresponding amino acid is attached (by aminoacyl-tRNA synthetases). tRNAs cope with the degeneracy of the genetic code in two manners: having more than one tRNA (with a specific anti-codon) for a particular amino acid; and 'wobble' base-pairing, i.e. permitting non-standard base-pairing at the 3rd anti-codon position.
Source: RNAcentral
GGAGCCGUGGGUGAGUGGCUGAAACCAGCGGUUUGCUAAACCGUCAGGCGGGGUCAACCCGUCUCGAGGGUUCGAAUCCCUCCGGCUCCGCCA